GAGUUUGAUCCUGGCUCAGGACGAACGCUGGCGGCGCGCUUAACACAUGCAAGUCGAACGUGAAGCCCGGGCUUGCCCGGGUGGAAAGUGGCGAACGGGUGCGUAACACGUGAGCAACCUGCCCCGAAGACCGGGAUAACACCGGGAAACCGGUGCUAAUACCGGAUGCCCUCAUCAUGUCGCAUGGCGAGAUGAGGAAAUGGAUUCCGCUUCGGGAUGGGCUCGCGGCCUAUCAGCUUGUUGGUGAGGUAACGGCUCACCAAGGCAACGACGGGUAGCUGGUCUGAGAGGAUGUCCAGCCACACUGGGACUGAGACACGGCCCAGACUCCUACGGGAGGCAGCAGUGGGGAAUCUUGCACAAUGGGCGAAAGCCUGAUGCAGCGACGCCGCGUGCGGGAUGACGGCCUCGGUUGUAACCGC
This 422-nucleotide ribosomal RNA is filed under the name uncultured Actinomycetes bacterium. RNAcentral describes it as "bacterial SSU rRNA". It matches the Rfam family "Bacterial small subunit ribosomal RNA", at positions 9 to 433 of the family's 1533-position model. The record is from RNAcentral. Lineage: Bacteria; Bacillati; Actinomycetota; Actinomycetes.